RNAcentral lists this ribosomal RNA (660 nucleotides) under Pediococcus acidilactici. RNAcentral describes it as "bacterial SSU rRNA". It matches the Rfam family "Bacterial small subunit ribosomal RNA", at positions 780 to 1440 of the family's 1533-position model. Lineage: Bacteria; Bacillati; Bacillota; Bacilli; Lactobacillales; Lactobacillaceae. The record is from RNAcentral.
AGAUACCUGGUAGUCCAUGCCGUAAACGAUGAUUACUAAGUGUUGGAGGGUUUCCGCCCUUCAGUGCUGCAGCUAACGCAUUAAGUAAUCCGCCUGGGGAGUACGACCGCAAGGUUGAAACUCAAAAGAAUUGACGGGGGCCCGCACAAGCGGUGGAGCAUGUGGUUUAAUUCGAAGCUACGCGAAGAACCUUACCAGGUCUUGACAUCUUCUGCCAACCUAAGAGAUUAGGCGUUCCCUUCGGGGACAGAAUGACAGGUGGUGCAUGGUUGUCGUCAGCUCGUGUCGUGAGAUGUUGGGUUAAGUCCCGCAACGAGCGCAACCCUUAUUACUAGUUGCCAGCAUUCAGUUGGGCACUCUAGUGAGACUGCCGGUGACAAACCGGAGGAAGGUGGGGACGACGUCAAAUCAUCAUGCCCCUUAUGACCUGGGCUACACACGUGCUACAAUGGAUGGUACAACGAGUCGCGAAACCGCGAGGUUUAGCUAAUCUCUUAAAACCAUUCUCAGUUCGGACUGUAGGCUGCAACUCGCCUACACGAAGUCGGAAUCGCUAGUAAUCGCGGAUCAGCAUGCCGCGGUGAAUACGUUCCCGGGCCUUGUACACACCGCCCGUCACUUCCAUGAGAGUUUGUAACACCCAAAGCCGGUGGGGUAACC